Oncorhynchus tshawytscha (Chinook salmon) is the source of this 324-nucleotide long non-coding RNA. NCBI's taxonomy places the organism in Eukaryota, Metazoa, Chordata, Actinopteri, Salmoniformes, Salmonidae. The record is from Ensembl.
GGGGGGGUCUACCUCCAGCAUGCUGACAUCAAAAGGCUCUUUGGUGGCAGCCUUCACAAGGAGGAGCAUCUCACUACGGACUCCUGGAGACACAUCCAACUUACUUCAUAUAAACACCUCCCUCUGCAACUGUGUCCUGGACUUCCUGACGGGCCACCCCCAGGUGGUAAGGGGACACAGACUGCUGGCUGGGACAAAUGGCCUCCUGGGAGCCCUGGUCGGCAUGCAUUAAAGCACACUGCACUCUUCUUCUCUCCUUCGUCAGCCUCUCUCCUCUCGCCCUGCAUCUGCCACUUCCUACCUCCAAUCAUCCCUUGCCCUGCA